RNAcentral lists this long non-coding RNA (313 nucleotides) under Monodelphis domestica (gray short-tailed opossum). RNAcentral describes it as "lncRNA (ENSMODG00000041402.1)". Lineage: Eukaryota; Metazoa; Chordata; Mammalia; Didelphimorphia; Didelphidae. The record is from RNAcentral.
CGGGCAUCUGAAGCAGUCCCCAUUUCUGGUUCACUUCCUUCUGUACGAGAGGCCAACGGAUUACACACAUGGUCAUGUUCCGUGACUGCCCCAGCCUGGGCUAGCACCAGGACUCGCGCGGCAGAGCAUCUGGCAACAGGGCCUUUAUGUGCUGUUGGGCCUAGGGCAAAAGAUACAAGAGGGCCCCCUGUGCAUUGCUCUUCCUAAGAAGAUGCCUUCAAAAGAUCUGAAAUUAUGGGUAAGAAUAUAGAUACAAGCAUGUGACAGAUGAUAUGUGAUUCUAUCCUAUCCAGUUCUGAAGAUACUACUGAGG